Molecule: ribosomal RNA, 460 nt
Filed under: uncultured bacterium
Lineage: Bacteria
Description: partial 16S ribosomal RNA
Rfam family: Bacterial small subunit ribosomal RNA
Source: RNAcentral
CCUACGGGGGGCAGCAGUGAGGAAUAUUGGUCAAUGGGCGUAAGCCUGAACCAGCCAAGCCGCGUGAGGGAUGAAGGUUCUAUGGAUCGUAAACCUCUUUUAUAAGGGAAUAAAGUGUGGGACGCGUCCUAUUUUGUAUGUACCUUAUGAAUAAGGAUCGGCUAACUCCGUGCCAGCAGCCGCGGUAAUACGGAGGAUCCGAGCGUUAUCCGGAUUUAUUGGGUUUAAAGGGUGCGUAGGCGGCCUUUUAAGUCAGCGGUGAAAGUCCGUGGCUCAACCAUAGAAUUGCCGUUGAAACUGGGGGGCUUGAGUAUGUUUGAGGCAGGCGGAAUGCGCGGUGUAGCGGUGAAAUGCUUAGAUAUCACGCAGAACCCCGAUUGCGAAGGCAGCCUGCCAAGCCAUGACUGACGCUGAGGCACGAAAGCGUGGGGAUCAAACAGGAUUAGAUACCCUAGUAGUC